RNAcentral lists this ribosomal RNA (468 nucleotides) under uncultured bacterium. Its description in RNAcentral is "partial 16S ribosomal RNA". It matches the Rfam family "Bacterial small subunit ribosomal RNA", at positions 28 to 507 of the family's 1533-position model. The record is from RNAcentral.
GACGAACGCUGGCGGCGUGCUUAACACAUGCAAGUCGAACGGAAAGGCCCUGCUUUUGUGGGGUGCUCGAGUGGCGAACGGGUGAGUAACACGUGAGUAACCUGCCCUUGACUUUGGGAUAACUUCAGGAAACUGGGGCUAAUACCGGAUAGGAGCUCCUGCUGCAUGGUGGGGGUUGGAAAGUUUCGGCGGUUGGGGAUGGACUCGCGGCUUAUCAGCUUGUUGGUGGGGUAGUGGCUUACCAAGGCUUUGACGGGUAGCCGGCCUGAGGGGGUGACCGGCCACAUUGGGACUGAGAUACGGCCCAGACUCCUACGGGAGGCAGCAGUGGGGAAUAUUGCACAAUGGGCGGAAGCCUGAUGCAGCAACGCCGCGUGCGGGAUGACGGCCUUCGGGCUGUAAACCGCUUUCGCCUGUGACGAAGCGUGAGUGACGGUAAUGGGUAAAGAAGCACCGGCUAACUACGUG